GUAGGUGGCAAGCGUUGUCCGGAAUUAUUGGGCGUAAAGCGCGCGCAGGCGGUUCUUUAAGUCUGAUGUGAAAGCCCACGGCUCAACCGUGGAGGGUCAUUGGAAACUGGAGAACUUGAGUACAGAAGAGGAAAGCGGAAUUCCACGUGUAGCGGUGAAAUGCGUAGAGAUGUGGAGGAACACCAGUGGCGAAGGCGGCUUUCUGGUCUGUAACUGACGCUGAGGCGCGAAAGCGUGGGGAGCAAACAGGGAUUAGAUACCCUGGUAGUCCACGCCGUAAACGAUGAGUGCUAAGUGUUAGGGGGUUUCCGCCCCCUUAGUGCUGCAGCUAACGCACUAAGCACUCCGCCUGGGGAGUACGGCCGCAAGGCUG
RNAcentral lists this ribosomal RNA (373 nucleotides) under uncultured organism. RNAcentral describes it as "partial 16S ribosomal RNA". It matches the Rfam family "Bacterial small subunit ribosomal RNA", at positions 527 to 896 of the family's 1533-position model. The record is from RNAcentral.